This 492-nucleotide ribosomal RNA is filed under the name uncultured bacterium. Its description in RNAcentral is "partial 16S ribosomal RNA". It matches the Rfam family "Bacterial small subunit ribosomal RNA", at positions 29 to 507 of the family's 1533-position model. The record is from RNAcentral.
AGUGAACGCUGGCGGUAGGCCUAACACAUGCAAGUCGAACGGCAGCACAGUAAGAGCUUGCUCUUACGGGUGGCGAGUGGCGGACGGGUGAGGAAUACAUCGGAAUCUACUUUUUCGUGGGGGAUAACGUAGGGAAACUUACGCUAAUACCGCAUACGACCUACGGGUGAAAGCAGGGGAUCUUCGGACCUUGCGCGAUUGACUGAGCCGAUGUCGGAUUAGCUAGUUGGCGGGGUAAAGGUCCACCAAGGCGACGAUCCGUAGCUGGUCUGAGAGGAUGAUCAGCCACACUGGAACUGAGACACGGUCCAGACUCCUACGGGAGGCAGCAGUGGGGAAUAUUGGACAAUGGGCGCAAGCCUGAUCCAGCCAUACCGCGUGGGUGAAGAAGGCCUUCGGGUUGUAAAGCCCUUUUGUUGGGAAAGAAAAGCAGCAGGUUAAUACCCCGCUGUUCUGACGGUACCCAAAGAAUAAGCACCGGCUAACUUCGUG